Long non-coding RNA from Lolium rigidum, 777 nucleotides. RefSeq lists it as uncharacterized. The transcript has 6 exons. Lineage: Eukaryota; Viridiplantae; Streptophyta; Magnoliopsida; Poales; Poaceae. The record is from RefSeq and is a predicted model, not a curated record.
AUGCAGGAAAUCUUCGAGGUUCACAUAAAGGAGCUCAUCGCUGGUUCGCAAAACCUGCGCCUCCGCCUCGACUAUUACCACAGCUGGCACAUGGCCUCCUCCACUUCUUCCUGUUGAUGGUCGCCGCCGCCCACCACAAGCCUAAAACUGCGAUUGCAUUCCAACGGGUAAAGCUGGAUGAUGUUAAGCUUGCUCAUGAAAGACUUGCAGGAUAAAAUCAUAUUGGACCAAGGGUGGUGCGGGACUCUACCAAAGCUGCCAAGGCAACAUGAUGGCCAAGUUAGAGCAAGACGACAAGACCAAUAAGAAGCGUGGUGCUGGUGGUGCUGUCAUCUGGAGCUGCUGCGUAGAAAUGAGUUGGGAAACAGCAAGGUUCAACUGCAGACUUAAAUUUCUUAGAUCCGCAUUUUGUGAAGGUUUAGAAGCUGGGAGCAUAGGACACUGCUGUCUCCGUUGAGAGCUUUACAUGCUCCCGUACUUGCAUUUUGGACCUUCACCUGCCAUGUGAUGUUUAGAAGACUUAAGGAAGGGCUGUAUGAAAUCUGCUUAGUCUGGUGCAGGGUAGGGGAGGGCUAGCAGCCCGGUUCAGGUAAACAGCCUCGCAGACCAGUCUACACAUUGUAACAUGAGGUUUUGUAGUGCUUUAAGUCGUGGAGCUGUAAUAAUAUUUGUAUUUAGCUUGCAUUUCUGUUUGGUUAAACUCCUGAUGGAGGUGGGCUGUCUGUUUGAAUGUCACGUUAGAUGAGCUGUAUGCACCUUUUAUUUGUUAAUUUGGUU